UAUUGCACAAUGGGCGAAAGCUUGAUGCAGCCAUGCCGCGUGUAUGAAGAAGGCCUUCGGGUUGUAAAGUACUUUCAGUUGUGAGGAAGGGGGUGUCGUUAAUAGCGGCAUCUCUUGACGUUAGCAACAGAAGAAGCACCGGCUAACUCCGUGCCAGCAGCCGCGGUAAUACGGAGGGUGCGAGCGUUAAUCGGAAUUACUGGGCGUAAAGCGCAUGCAGGUGGUUCAUUAAGUCAGAUGUGAAAGCCCGGGGCUCAACCUCGGAACUGCAUUUGAAACUGGUGAACUAGAGUACUGUAGAGGGGGGUAGAAUUUCAGGUGUAGCGGUGAAAUGCGUAGAGAUCUGAAGGAAUACCAGUGGCGAAGGCGGCCCCCUGGACAGAUACUGACACUCAGAUGCGAAAGCGUGGGGAGCAAACAGGAUUAGAUACCCUGGUAGUCCACGCCGUAAACGAUGUCUACUUGGAGGUUGUGGCCUUGAGCCGUGGCUUUCGGAGCUAACGCGUUAAGUAGACCGCCUGGGGAGUACGGUCGCAAGAUUAAAACUCAAAUGAAUUGACGGGGGCCCGCACAAGCGGUGGAGCAUGUGGUUUAAUUCGAUGCAACGCGAAGAACCUUACCUACUCUUGACAUCCAGAGAAGCCAGC
RNAcentral lists this ribosomal RNA (647 nucleotides) under Vibrio sp. Its description in RNAcentral is "bacterial SSU rRNA". It matches the Rfam family "Bacterial small subunit ribosomal RNA", at positions 362 to 1001 of the family's 1533-position model. Lineage: Bacteria; Pseudomonadati; Pseudomonadota; Gammaproteobacteria; Vibrionales; Vibrionaceae. The record is from RNAcentral.